GAUCUUAUAGUUUAUUAAGAAUUUUAAUUUGCAAAAUUAAUGGUAUUUAUUAUUAAGAUCU
This 61-nucleotide transfer RNA is filed under the name Batracomorphus allionii. Its description in RNAcentral is "tRNA-Cys". Lineage: Eukaryota; Metazoa; Arthropoda; Insecta; Hemiptera; Cicadellidae. The record is from RNAcentral.